RNAcentral lists this ribosomal RNA (490 nucleotides) under uncultured bacterium. RNAcentral describes it as "partial 16S ribosomal RNA". It matches the Rfam family "Bacterial small subunit ribosomal RNA", at positions 30 to 507 of the family's 1533-position model. The record is from RNAcentral.
AUUGAACGCUGGCGGCAGGCCUAACACAUGCAAGUCGAACGGUAACAGGAAGAAGCUUGCUUCUUUGCUGACGAGUGGCGGACGGGUGAGUAAUGUCUGGGAAACUGCCUGAUGGAGGGGGAUAACUACUGGAAACGGUAGCUAAUACCGCAUAACGUCGCAAGACCAAAGAGGGGGACCUUCGGGCCUCUUGCCAUCGGAUGUGCCCAGAUGGGAUUAGCUAGUAGGUGGGGUAACGGCUCACCUAGGCGACGAUCCCUAGCUGGUCUGAGAGGAUGACCAGCCACACUGGAACUGAGACACGGUCCAGACUCCUACGGGAGGCAGCAGUGGGGAAUAUUGCACAAUGGGCGCAAGCCUGAUGCAGCCAUGCCGCGUGUAUGAAGAAGGCCUUCGGGUUGUAAAGUACUUUCAGCGGGGAGGAAGGGAGUAAAGUUAAUACCUUUGCUCAUUGACGUUACCCGCAGAAGAAGUACCGGCUAACUCCGUG